UUACGCUUGCGCGCUGAUGGUUCCCGGGAACGGGAUCAAAAGGGAACGCAGGAGAGGCAGCGCCUCGAAUCUGCGGCUGCCCCCGCAACUGUAAGCGGCGAAUCCGCGCCACCACACGCCACUGGGAAACCGGGAAGGCCGGCGCGAAUAACGACCCGCGAGCCAGGAGACCUGCCAUCGACCCGAGGUCCAA
This 193-nucleotide non-coding RNA is filed under the name Burkholderia ambifaria. Lineage: Bacteria; Pseudomonadati; Pseudomonadota; Betaproteobacteria; Burkholderiales; Burkholderiaceae. RNAcentral also lists the same sequence under 1 other name. The record is from RNAcentral.